GCUAGGAUAGUUUAACAAAAACAUUAGGCUGUGACUCUAAUAAUAGAACUUAUGUUCUUCCUGGCC
RNAcentral lists this transfer RNA (66 nucleotides) under Xenagama batillifera (Vaillants strange agama). RNAcentral's name for it is "tRNA-His". It matches the Rfam family "tRNA". Rfam says of the family: Transfer RNA (tRNA) molecules are approximately 80 nucleotides in length. Their secondary structure includes four short double-helical elements and three loops (D, anti-codon, and T loops). The record is from RNAcentral. Lineage: Eukaryota; Metazoa; Chordata; Lepidosauria; Squamata; Agamidae. RNAcentral also lists the same sequence under 1 other name.